CCUACGGGAGGCAGCAGUGGGGAAUAUUGGGCAAUGGACGCAAGUCUGACCCAGCAACGCCGCGUGAAGGAAGAAGGCUUUCGGGUUGUAAACCUCUUUUAAGGGGGAAGAGCAGAAGACGGUACCCCUUGAAUAAGCCACGGCUAACUACGAGCCAGCAGCCGGGGUAAUACGUAGGUGGCAAGCGUUGUCCGGAUUUACUGGGUGUAAAGGGCGUGCAGGCGGAGAGACAAGUCAGAUGUGAAAUCCACGGGCUCAACCCGUGAACUGCAUUUGAAACUGUUUGCCUUGAGUGUCCGAGAGGUAAGCGGAAUUCCUUGUGUAGCGGUGAAAUGCGUAGAUAUAAGGAGGAACACCAGUGGCGAAGGCGGUUUACUGGCCUGGAACUGACGUUGAGGCUCGAAGGCGUGGGGAGCAAACAGGAUUAGAUACCCCAGUAGUC
RNAcentral lists this ribosomal RNA (442 nucleotides) under uncultured bacterium. RNAcentral's name for it is "partial 16S ribosomal RNA". It matches the Rfam family "Bacterial small subunit ribosomal RNA", at positions 338 to 795 of the family's 1533-position model. The record is from RNAcentral.